This 433-nucleotide ribosomal RNA is filed under the name uncultured bacterium. RNAcentral describes it as "partial 16S ribosomal RNA". It matches the Rfam family "Bacterial small subunit ribosomal RNA", at positions 29 to 507 of the family's 1533-position model. The record is from RNAcentral.
AACGAACGCUGGCGGCAUGCCUAACACAUGCAAGUCGAACGAGACCUUCGGGUCUAGUGGCGCACGGGUGCGUAACGCGGGGGAACCUGCCCUUAGGUUCGGAAUAACUCCCCGAAAGGGGUGCUAAUACCGGAUAAUGUCUUCGGACCAAAGAUUUAUCGCCUUUGGAUGGGCCCGCGUUGGAUUAGCUAGUUGGUAGGGUAAAAGCCUACCACGGCGACGAUCCAUAGCUGGUCUGAGAGGAUGAUCAGCCACACUGGGAGUGAGACACGGCCGGGACUCCUACGGGAGGCAGCAGUGGGUGAUACUGGACUAUGGCCGAAAGCAUGAUCCCGCUCUGCCGCGUGAGUGAUGAUGGCCUUAGGGUUGUACAGCUCUUUUACCCGGGAUGAUAAUGACGGUACCGAAAGAAUAAGCUCCGGCUAACUUCGUG